Molecule: ribosomal RNA, 740 nt
Filed under: uncultured bacterium
Lineage: Bacteria
Description: bacterial SSU rRNA
Rfam family: Bacterial small subunit ribosomal RNA
Source: RNAcentral
AGAGUUUGAUCAUGGCUCAGAACGAACGCUGGCGGCAGGCUUAACACAUGCAAGUCGAACGCACCUUUCGGGGUGAGUGGCAGACGGGUGAGUAACGCGUGGGAACGUGCCCUUCAGUUCGGGAUAACCCAGGGAAACUUGGGCUAAUACCGGAUACGUGCGAGAGCAGAAAGAUUUAUCGCUGAAGGAUCGGCCCGCGUCUGAUUAGCUAGUUGGGGGGUAAUGGCCCACCAAGGCGACGAUCAGUAGCUGGUCUGAGAGGAUGAUCAGCCACAUUGGGACUGAGACACGGCCCAAACUCCUACGGGAGGCAGCAGUGGGGAAUAUUGGACAAUGGGCGCAAGCCUGAUCCAGCCAUGCCGCGUGAGUGAUGAAGGCCUUAGGGUUGUAAAGCUCUUUCGUCCGGGACGAUAAUGACGGUACCGGAAGAAGAAGCCCCGGCUAACUUCGUGCCAGCAGCCGCGGUAAUACGAAGGGGGCUAGCGUUGUUCGGAAUCACUGGGCGUAAAGGGCGCGUAGGCGGCUUUGUAAGUCGGGGGUGAAAGCCUGUGGCUCAACCACAGAAUUGCCUUCGAUACUGCAUGGCUUGAGACCGGAAGAGGUAAGUGGAACUGCGAGUGUAGAGGUGAAAUUCGUAGAUAUUCGCAAGAACACCAGUGGCGAAGCGGCUUACUGGUCCGGUUCUGACGCUGAGGCGCGAAAGCGUGGGGAGCAAACAGGAUUAGAUACCCUAGUAGUCC